Molecule: non-coding RNA, 87 nt
Organism: Xylaria cubensis
Lineage: Eukaryota; Fungi; Ascomycota; Sordariomycetes; Xylariales; Xylariaceae
Source: the annotation of a GenBank genome assembly
GGCCGGUUGGCGUAAUGGCAACGCGUCAGUUUCCGGUUAAUACACCAGAUCUACUGAAGACUGUGGGUUCGAGUCCCAUACUGGUCG